Molecule: long non-coding RNA, 327 nt
Organism: Stegodyphus dumicola
Lineage: Eukaryota; Metazoa; Arthropoda; Arachnida; Araneae; Eresidae
Source: RefSeq, a predicted model, not a curated record
UGGAACGUGGUUACUUUGUGCCACCUCUUCAACAUGCCUCUCGGUUGUGGCGCUACAGUCAUCAUCCAGCAACCCUGCAACUGCCGCCCCCCCUCCAUCCAUCCCCAGAGGAUAUCUACCUGUCAAGCGAUAGAUAUUUAUUUGGACCUCCGGGCAUGAAGCUCUAUAGAUCGCCAAUGUAUUAAACGCCACAGCUUCAUCAUUACCUGUUAUUGAUCAUUCGGCCAGAUGUACUGCUGCUGUUUUCGUUGCGCGAUGCUGUUAUUUCUUACCCCUUCUCAUCAUUUUUAUAAUGGACUUUUGAAUAAAAUUCAUGUGAAACAUUGA